This 254-nucleotide ribosomal RNA is filed under the name uncultured bacterium. RNAcentral describes it as "partial 16S ribosomal RNA". It matches the Rfam family "Bacterial small subunit ribosomal RNA", at positions 524 to 776 of the family's 1533-position model. The record is from RNAcentral.
CACGUAGGGGGCAAGCGUUGUCCGGAUUUAUUGGGCGUAAAGAGCUCGUAGGCGGUUCAGUUAGUCGGGUGUGAAAUCUCCGGGCUCAACCCGGAGGGGCCACCCGAUACUGCUGUGACUCGAGUCCGGUAGGGGAGUGGGGAAUUCCUGGUGUAGCGGUGAAAUGCGCAGAUAUCAGGAGGAACACCGGUGGCGAAGGCGCCACUCUGGGCCGGUACUGACGCUGAGGAGCGAAAGCGUGGGUAGCAAACAGG